GGGGCUGUAGCUCAGUUGGAAGAGCAUCUGUCUGUCGAACAGAAGGUCGCGGGAUCGAGACCCGUCAGCCUCG
RNAcentral lists this transfer RNA (73 nucleotides) under Microcoleus sp. FACHB-672. Its description in RNAcentral is "tRNA-Asp". It matches the Rfam family "tRNA". From Rfam's summary of the family: Transfer RNA (tRNA) molecules are approximately 80 nucleotides in length. Their secondary structure includes four short double-helical elements and three loops (D, anti-codon, and T loops). The record is from RNAcentral. Lineage: Bacteria; Bacillati; Cyanobacteriota; Cyanophyceae; Oscillatoriales; Microcoleaceae.